RNAcentral lists this unclassified non-coding RNA (322 nucleotides) under uncultured fungus. Its description in RNAcentral is "partial contains 5.8S ribosomal RNA and internal transcribed spacer 2". The stretch from base 1 to 133 matches the Rfam family "5.8S ribosomal RNA", at positions 22 to 154 of the family's 154-position model. The record is from RNAcentral. Lineage: Eukaryota; Fungi.
UGGUUCUGGCAUCGAUGAAGAACGCAGCGAAAUGCGAUAAGUAAUGUGAAUUGCAGAAUUCAGUGAAUCAUCGAAUCUUUGAACGCACAUUGCGCCCAUUAGUAUUCUAGUGGGCAUGCCUGUUCGAGCGUCAUUUCAACCCCUAAGCACAGCUUAUUGUUGGGAAUCUACGCCCUAGUAGUUCCUCAAAGACAUUGGCGGAGUGGCAGUAGUCCUCUGAGCGUAGUAAUUCUUUAUCUCGCUUUUGUUAGGUGCUGCCUCCCCGGCCGUAAACCCCCAAUUUUUUCUGGUUGACCUCGGAUCAGGUAGGAAUACCCGCUGA